Molecule: ribosomal RNA, 253 nt
Filed under: uncultured bacterium
Lineage: Bacteria
Description: partial 16S ribosomal RNA
Rfam family: Bacterial small subunit ribosomal RNA
Source: RNAcentral
CACGUAGGGGACGAGCGUUGUCCGGAUUCAUUGGGCGUAAAGCGCGCGUAGGCGGCUCGGAAAGUCGGUCGUGAAAUGCCGGGGCUCAACCCCGGGACUGCGUCCGAUACUCCCGAGCUGGAGGCAGGUAGGGGAGAUCGGAAUUCCUGGUGUAGCGGUGAAAUGCGCAGAUAUCAGGAGGAACACCGGUGGCGAAGGCGGGUCUCUGGGCCGAUAUCGACGCUGAGGAGCGAAAGCGUGGGGAGCGAACAGG